This is a non-coding RNA of Meleagris gallopavo (turkey), 3179 nucleotides long. NCBI's taxonomy places the organism in Eukaryota, Metazoa, Chordata, Aves, Galliformes, Phasianidae. The record is from RefSeq and is a predicted model, not a curated record.
AGGGAUGGUUUUCUACCUGGAGAUCUUUCUACUGGAGUAUUUUGUGUUUCCUGAUUUUUUUGACAGAGCUAAUCUCUCAAUGCCAAAACAUCAGUUUCCAUCCACCAUUUCCGUAAAUUACCUUGCUCAAUGGACUCCUGAUCAGCGAUGUUGAGAUGGAGAUGUGACAGCCAUAAAAAGUGUAAAUAACAAGGGUAGUUUUUGUAGAAGUUUAAAUCUGGACUAAAAGUAUUUAACUUUUUCCUCUCGAGAUACAGAGGAGAUGGAUCAAUCCAGACCAACUCGCUUUCAGCGUGAACUGAUAUAACUCACAGUGACAUCUGUGGGAGCAAAAGAGCACAAGCCAUUUUGAGCUCAGUCAGAAGAAAAUAAUGUAUGCUGCUCUUUUGUUUCCAUGCAUUGAUUCAUACCACCUUUUUUUUUUCUUCUUUCUUAGUUGUCUGUAUUUUAGAAAAAUAUGUAUAAGCUGUUAUUAUACUAGAAAAGUUUUUUUUGCUUGUACCCAUAGGUGGAAAUUCCUAUGCCAGUAGAUUCUAUUAAUUUUUGAGAACUGGUUUGUUUAUAUGGUCUCUACCAACUAUAGUGCAAGAGUGAAAAAUAUGCCAAACAAUUUCUAACUCACAAAAACUGUGAUUAAACUCAGUUAGGAUUCAAUACACUCUGCAGAGGUUAAUUAAAUUUUUAUGGAUUUAUUCUUCAUUCAGUGCUUUAAAAAGUUGUUCUGUUUAGUUAUCAUUGCCAAGUUGACGAUGGGGGAAAUUGAAAGUCCUGAUCUACAUCAAUCUUCUGUGUUGCCAGACAUUGAAAUAAUUUGCAGGAUAUCAGUAUGGCGUGAAAUGGGGAAAGAAGAGAGAACUACAGCUGAAUGAUGUUUAGGUGAGCGGUGGGCUAUCAGGAAUUUUAGACAAGCACAACAGAGAUAUUGGGACUUUAUCUCAAUGGGAUUAAGCUAUUGAAGAAUGAAUGCUUUUCAGCUCAAACUGGAUAGCCAAGGAUGCGACUAGGUCAAUUCCAUGAAGAUAAUACAGUUAGAAAGAGUAGUAAAGGGCAGAGUUGAGUUCUGGAAAAGCUAUGAUCUCUUAAGAUAAUUGCAGCAGUAAUAUAGAGAUCUCCAACAUAUCACCUAGAAUACCCAAGUGGGGAUGGGUGUUUUCUCAAGGUAGUGUCAGAUAGGCAGGUAGCAAAGCAGUCAAUGUCCCAAGAGGAUUACAACUGAUGUAUUACACAUAGCAGGUGGUUGUGAUAAAUAGAAAAGAAUGCUGAGAGAUUAAAGCAACAAUAUACAAUAUAAAGACUACUUUGAAAGCUUCAGUUUCUGCUUUAUCUACUCUGUAAGCCUGGCAUGCAGCAAAGCUGGAAACUUGUUUAAGUUCAUCUCUCUUAAGAAAAGCACUAUGGCAUGUGUUUAAUUUCUGGUUUGUGGUGAUAAUGCUCUGCUAAAUGUGGAUUGACUGCUGAAUGUGGGCCUGAGGAUCUUGUUAAAACACUGGUUAAAGGAAAUCCAGUUAACAUUAUUUAUUAAAAAGCUUUAACUGCGUUCCUUACAAGAAGUUCCUUAGGAAGCUGAUCUGUCAUGGAGCAAGGUUCUGCCUGGGGGUAAAAACUGGUAGAAAGACUAAAAAAAAGGGUCAGACAUGAUAGUGACACUUCAUUACGGAAGGACAAUUGUCACAGGUACCUACAACAGGCACGAAAUUUUUUGCUUGCAGGGAUGCAAGCUCUGUACACUGAGCAGUCUGAAAAGUAAAUGAGAACAGUUUAAUUUCCAAAAUUUAUAAUAAAUUAUAGUAUAUUUAUUCUUGUUUAAGCAGGUCUAGAUAAUGAUCAUCCCAAAUAUUCCAGUCAGGCUGUUUUUGUUGCAAGCCUACAUUUAAUAUCUGAGCUCCUUGGAGAAUAGCUCUUGCUUUCUUUUUAAGUUGGAAAAUAUCUUGCAUAGUCCCAGCAGCAGCUGAGACAAAUACCCAUAAAUAUCGUUAAUAAUCUGGAAUAAGGCCUUAAAGCAGCAAAAUAUAUAUUUUUUUUUGCCAGGAUAAUUGUUUUAUCAGACAGAAUUCAGAUCAGGCAAGAUUAAAUAAGGCUUUGGAGAUGCCCAGACUAAACUAUCUGCACAACAUUUAUGACAGAUGAAAUUCACUGCAGAUAACUUCAAGGUGAUACACAUGAGAAAGGAUGAUUCACUUGCUCAUAUACAUAGCUGAGUUAUAAAUUAGCUGUAAUCACUCAAGAAAAAGAACUUGCUAUUACUGAGGACAACUCCAUGACAGCAGUGAUCAAGAUGCAAAAAAAAAAAAGUCAAAACGUAUUAAGAGAGGGUUAUGAUAAAAGGCUGGAAGCAUUAUAAUGCCAUGGCUGUGCAUGGUCUGCAUUCACCUUGAACACUGUGCCCAAUUUUUGUCACCCUACUUCAUAAGUAACUUAGUAAAAUAAAAAGUAUUCAGGAAAAAAAAAGCACAAUUAUGAAAUCAGCAGCUAGGAAACUUUCUAGAUAAGGGUAACAUUUAAGUAAUACAAACGUAUGAUUUUAAAGUUCAGUUUUGCUCUUGUAGAGUAUACACCGUGGACUUGGCCACUGCCUAAAAGACAAACUGACAGAAAUCAGAAGUUUAAUGCAAUUUGUGUGUACAAUAUAUUCCUGUAAAAUAAAGUACUUCAAGAUCUUUAUCACUUUCAAAAAAACCACCCAAACUGUCAUUAACUUUGCACCUUAGAAGCAGGCAACCCAAAGAAGGAACAUAACCAACCAAAGAGAUGCCAGCCAAGUGGCAGAUAAGGAUAUGUGUAGGGAAAAGGUAGAUUAGUUAAUGUUUCAAAUUCAUUGAGGACUUUUUUUGUUUUCCCACAGUGGAUUCUCCAAUUUGUCUAGCAUAUUCCGAAGACUUUUCAUGUCGUCUUCUGUGGUUUUAUCAUGUGUAGAGAUGUAUCGUAUCUAACAUACAUAGAAGUACAUCAGUGGAAGAGCAUACCAGCAAGAAUUUUCCCUACGAGCUACUAUAUAUUAUUACUAUGCUGCAUUACUCUCAGGUUUUUGCUUGAUGAUUGGAUUAUAUCAAUAUAGUGUAUUAUAUUUCUGUGCUGGAUUGCUUUCAAAUAAGCUACCUGAAUGAAUGAUAACUGAAUUGGCAUCACCGUAUAAAGUAUUAUUGUGAGAGAAAGCAUCAUGGCAAAAUAAGAUGAGAAAA